UAGGGAAUCUUCCGCAAUGGACGCAAGUCUGACGGAGCAACGCCGCGUGAGUGAAGAAGGAUUUCGGUUCGUAAAACUCUGUUGUUAGAGAAGAACAGCGCAUAGAGUAACUGUUAUGCGUGUGACGGUAUCUAACCAGAAAGCCACGGCUAACUACGUGCCAGCAGCCGCGGUAAUACGUAGGUGGCAAGCGUUGUCCGGAUUUAUUGGGCGUAAAGCGAGCGCAGGCGGUCAAUUAAGUCUGAUGUGAAAGCCCCCGGCUCAACCGGGGAGGGUCAUUGGAAACUGGUUGACUUGAGUGCAGAAGAGGAGAGUGGAAUUCCAUGUGUAGCGGUGAAAUGCGUAGAUAUAUGGAGGAACACCAGUGGCGAAGGCGACUCUCUGGUCUGUAACUAACGCUGAGGUUCGAAAGCGUGGGUAGCAAACAGG
This 429-nucleotide ribosomal RNA is filed under the name Bacteroidota bacterium. RNAcentral describes it as "Bacteroidetes bacterium partial 16S ribosomal RNA". It matches the Rfam family "Bacterial small subunit ribosomal RNA", at positions 355 to 776 of the family's 1533-position model. The record is from RNAcentral. Lineage: Bacteria; Pseudomonadati; Bacteroidota.